AAAUAAUACAAUUAAAUUAUUUUAGUUUUAAAUUAUUGAUAAUUAGUAAUUUUAUAUAUAAAUUUGAUAAGUGAAAUUUUAAAUUUUAAAAAGGUUAAUUAUUGUUAAUGAUUUAAUAAGUUUUAAGUAUAAACUAGGAUUAGAUACCCUAUUAUUUAAAAGGUAAGUGUAGAGACUAAAUUAGUAUUUGUUAGAUUCAUGAAAAUUAAAGAUUUUGGCGGUAUUUUAGUCUAUUCAGAGGAACCUGUUCUGUAAUUGAUAAUCCACGAUUAAAUUUACUUUUUUUAUAUAAAUUUACAUAUCGUCGUAGUUUGAAUAUUUUAUAAGAAUUUUAAUAUUCAAGAUUUAUGAUAGUAAAAGAAAUCAGAUCAAGGUGUAGUUUAUAAAAAAGUAGAAAUGGGUUACUUUAAUUUAAAUUUGGGAUAAUUAUUAUUAUAAUAUUUUGAAUUAGGAUUUGAUAGUAAUUUUAAUUAAUUAAUUAAAAUGAUUUUAGCUCUAAAAU
Molecule: ribosomal RNA, 502 nt
Filed under: Gastrophysa cyanea
Lineage: Eukaryota; Metazoa; Arthropoda; Insecta; Coleoptera; Chrysomelidae
Description: partial 12S ribosomal RNA
Source: RNAcentral